GCCUGCUCGUCCUCACGCAGGUGUUUUUCAGUCAGCUGAUGAGCGCUGAUUGCUUCUUCCUCCUCCUCUUAUUUAAUCUUCCUCCUCCUCACAUUCCCGUGAUGUCACUUUGAAGAGAAGCUGCACGAGCCGUGGAACGAAAAAGUGUUCCGGGAGGAGGGAACUUGUGGCGGUGACGCGCCAACCGCCGUAAAAGCUCAUAAAACAACGCGGGAAGUUUAAACAUAGAAGAGAGAAAAAAGAAAACUCCCGCGGUGUGACGUCAGACGCCGAGAAGGUGGCCGCGUGCAUCAGCUCCUGUGUUGGACCUGGUCCAGAAUGGAACAACCUGCUUCCUGCUCACGGACACCGGGUCGGAACCGCCAUAGACAAGAGCCUGAGAUUGAUCGUCAUGAAGAUCGUCAAAGAGUAGGUGUGAUGAUUUCAUUGUGGGUGGCCGCUGUGUCCCCACUCUUUCUUGGCCGCUGAGCCUACAUCUC
Molecule: long non-coding RNA, 479 nt
Organism: Solea senegalensis (Senegalese sole)
Lineage: Eukaryota; Metazoa; Chordata; Actinopteri; Pleuronectiformes; Soleidae
Exons: 3
Source: RefSeq, a predicted model, not a curated record